Molecule: ribosomal RNA, 253 nt
Filed under: uncultured bacterium
Lineage: Bacteria
Description: partial 16S ribosomal RNA
Rfam family: Bacterial small subunit ribosomal RNA
Source: RNAcentral
UACGUAGGGUGCAAGCGUUAAUCGGAAUUACUGGGCGUAAAGCGUGCGCAGGCGGUGAUGUAAGACAGAUGUGAAAUCCCCGGGCUCAACCUGGGAACUGCAUUUGUGACUGCAUCGCUGGAGUUCGGCAGAGGGGGAUGGAAUUCCGCGUGUAGCAGUGAAAUGCGUAGAUAUGCGGAGGAACACCGAUGGCGAAGGCAAUCCCCUGGGCCUGCACUGACGCUCAUGCACGAAAGCGUGGGGAGCAAACAGG